RNA transcript from Pangasianodon hypophthalmus (striped catfish), 3082 nucleotides. It is a transcript of the gene named zinc finger and SCAN domain-containing protein 21-like, with no coding region annotated. The record is from RefSeq and is a predicted model, not a curated record. The transcript is spliced from 5 exons. Lineage: Eukaryota; Metazoa; Chordata; Actinopteri; Siluriformes; Pangasiidae.
GGUCUUGACUUUCGGUAGACUCAGGUGUGGCUUCUGCUUGGUUGGAAUGAAAACCUGCACCCACACUGGCCCUUUCUGGAUAGGAUUGGACACCCCUGCUGUAGCAUUACACUUUCCCUUUACUGAACUAAGAGACCCAAACCUGUUCCAGCAUGACAAUACCCCUGUGCACAUAGCGAGCUCUAUGAAGACACAGUUUGCGAAGGUUGGACUGGAUGAACUCGAGUGUCCUGACCUCAAUCCCACUGAACACUUUUGGUUGGAUUGGAAAGCCAAAUGCACCCCAGACAUGCCUGACAUCACUAAUGCUCUUGUAGCUGAAGGAACACAAAUCCCCACAGCCACACUCUGAAAUCUAGUGGAAAGCCUGCCUAGAAGAGUGGAGAUUAUUAUAAGGGCAAAGGGGGACUAAAUCUGGAAUGGGAUGUUCAACAAGUACAUAUGGGUAUGAUGAUCAGGUGUCCACAUACUUUUUUCAGUAUAGUGUAUACAUAAAUUUAAUAUUGUCUUAUAUAGCAGUGGGUGAAAAGUAGGUUGUAUGUUAAUUAAAACUGUGUUCAGUAAAUAAAAAUGACUGAACCUGGGUCAGCACCAGCUAAGUAAGCAAUAUUACUUGAUAGAUUGUCAGUCACACCAUGCAUGAACAUGGUACUCUUGCAGUCUGGCCAGAGGCGUUUCUCAGCCUGUCCAGCAGAGGGCAGUAAUUUCUUCAGAAAGCAAAAUAAACGAAGAACGAGCCACAUAGCGGAAGUUGUCGUCUGCGAUUAAACCACACUGUCCCUACAUUAGUGCACUACCUAGGGCAUGAAGUAGUAGUAAUUCAACCCUUUAUAGGGUGCUAUAUGAUCAGUAUGGAGUCAUUUGAGAUUGAUCCUGAGGCUAAGUCCCAAAAUCACAUACUAGCGUGUUAAACAAUAUGGCACAGGAGCGACAUAGUGUACUAUAUUAGCAUACUUUGUAGUGCUUAAGUAUGUGAAUUGGACGUAACGUAAAGCGACUCGAAAAGGUUUGUAGGUAACAGGUUAUCUCUAAUCUGCUAGCUCGGUAAAUGAGAAUUAAUUUUUUUAGCGUGUAGUCUACGAGGUAAACAUGGUCGACUCGCAUUUUCAUGUUCAGCUGACAGCUGUGCUGGAUGUGCUGAUGAAAACAGCUGUGUCAGACAUCUGUGCUCUGGCGGAGAGCUGGUUUCAGUCCCUGCACAUGGAAAUAGCGAGAAGCAAAAAGGAGAAUGAAGAUUUAAGACAGAAGCUGCAGAGGAUGCAAGAGCAAAAUCCCCAGGCUGCAGCUGAAACAGAGCUGGAGAGUCAAAGCACCAAGGAGGAGAAGGAUGAGGACACUGGCAGUGAAGUGAGAGAUACAGACGAUUCUGGCUGCACAGUGUUUGCAGGAACCUCUACAGAAGAUCUAGCUGCCAGUGCACAACUAUGGCUUUCUUCUUCUGAGGAAGAACAGAGAAAGAAGACCACGUUUUGUCACAUUUGUGUUAAAGAAGUGGGAUGCCUCAAAAGCCAUCUGGAGUGGCAUGACCAAAAAUUCAAAUGCCAUAUUUGUCACAAGAUGUUUCAUAAUAAAGUUGUCUUUUCAAGACACCUUAACAUGCACACUGGCACUAAGCAUGCCUGUGAUGUGUGCAGGAAGACUUUUGGAAGUAAAAGUGGUCUGUUAAAACACAUAAGUCACCACAAAAGAGACUUGGAGAAGUGCAAGGACUGUGACCAGGAGUUUCCUACUAAACAAACCCUGUAUUCACACAGAGAAAAGACACACACAGUGCCAAAACAGUGUCCUUUUUGUGAGCUCACCUUCUCACGUAACAGCAACCUUAAGAAGCACCUACAGAGGCAUAGAGCUGUCCAUAAAUAACCAAAUCUCAUAUUUAUGCUCUACAGACUGUUAAGUAACUUCAUUUUUCAAUAAACAGACAGACAAAUAACACUGAAUUGUUGUUUGGUCUUCUGUUACAGUCUAAUUUUUAUGUAAGUUGUAAUGCUGGAAGCUGCUGUAGCACUGGAUCGUUACAUGAUCUGUUAAGGUUUCUGAUCUGUCCUGACCUGUCAUUUUCAGCUCUGUACCAUUGAGAAUGAUCAGAAAUUGUGCACACUGUAUUAGGGGUAUGAGAAGGUAUGACAUCUUUCUGUGUUACAAACUAAAUGAGCUUAGAAAAUGUGUUUAGAGGAAUGAUAAUACGGAUAUACACACUUUCUCAGAUUACAUUUAAGGGAUCAUGUGUAUAGUAUUUUUAUCGUAUUAUUUGAAUUGUUAGCAAAGGAGCCUCAACUCCUUAUUGAAACUUAAGGGUUUUUUGGCUUUUUUUUUUAAGUGUUAUUAGUUAAAUCUGGUAUUCUGAAAUUUAUUUCAUAAGCCUAUUUACAUUAUUAAGUCAGAACUGAAGUGCAGAAACACAUAUCUUUUAAUUAGAAACAAUAGGUGGUAUCUUUGCUGAAAUUAUACUCUAAAGGUUGAAAGCAAAAAAAGUCUGUAUUUAAAAAAAUUAAUUGUCAGAGAUACUCAAAAAUGCACGUUUAUCUAAGUAAUUAAGAUCAUCUUCUGCAGUGACGUUAAUGUGGUCAGAGGAAUAAGCAGAAAGUAAUUGGUCCAGAGGAAGCUACGUAUAUAUCUGACGAACUUUGGUCUUAAAGUGAGGUCAGAGCAUGAAGUGACAAAAAAAAAAAAAAAAAAAAAAAAAAUACAUUUCAAGAGAUUCUGAAAAUCUAAAAGAGCUGAUGUUUUCUGUGCUGGGAGUGGUGCUGGUGGUGGGCUUUACCAAAAAGUAUAGAGAACUGAUUAUAGUCAGUUCCAAUAUCCAAAACACAAGCAAAAUGUGACUGGAAUCUGUUGAUCCCAUUCUUCCAAAAGUGUGUUGUGUCAACAUUUGCUAUCCUUUUAGUGAAAUGUUGAUAUGGCAGUCAUUUAUUAAUUGACUGUGUUUGUCCUGCAGACUCUAAGAAAAGAAAUUUUUCAGCGACUGAAUCUGCACCAGCUGAAAGAGCACACUCGAGAUGGAACCAUACACCGGUAGGCACAAAAGCAGAAAUGAUGGAUAGAUCUAUUGGGGAAAGAGUAGAGCCAAAGCUAGAUGGUA